Molecule: ribosomal RNA, 457 nt
Filed under: uncultured organism
Description: partial 16S ribosomal RNA
Rfam family: Bacterial small subunit ribosomal RNA
Source: RNAcentral
GUACACUCCUGCGGGAGGCAGCAGUGGGGAAUUUUACGCAAUGGGGGAAACCCUGACGUAGCGACACCGCGUGAGCGAAGAAGCCCUUUGGGGUGUAAAGCUCUGUCAGCUGGAACGAAAACAAUGACGGUACCAGUAGAGGAAGCAUCGGCUAACUACGUGCCAGUAGCCGCGGUAAGACGUAGGAUGCGAGCGUUGUCCGGAUUUAUUGGGCGUAAAGAGUUCGUAGGUGGUUUGUUAAGUUUGGUGUUAAAGAUCGGGGCUCAACCCUGGGACUGCACUGAAUACUGGCAGACUCGAGUGUGGUAGAGGCUAGUGGAAUUCCCAGUGUAGCGGUGAAAUGCGUAGAUAUUGGGAAGAACACCGGUGGCGUAGGCGACUAGCUGGGCCAUAACUGACGCUGAGGAACGAAAGCCAGGGGAGCGAAUGGGAUUAGAAACCCCUGUAGUCCCAUGAU